CCUUGGUUAGUUCUGUUAUGUCCUGAUGGAGAGGGUGGGUUUGUUUCAGGUGGGGACCUUGGUUAGUUCUGUUAUGUCCUGAUGGAGAGGGUGGGAUUGUUUCAGGUGGGGGCCUUGGUUAGUUCUGUUAUGUCCUGAUGGAGAGGGUGGGUUUGUUUCAGGUGGGGGCCUUGGUUAGUUCUGUUAUGUCCUGAUGGAGAGGGUGGGAUUGUUUCAGGUGGGGACCUUGGUUAGUUCUGUUAUGUCCUGAUGGAGAGGGUGGGAUUGUUUCAGGUGGGGGCCUUGGUUAGUUCUGUUAUGUCCUGAUGGAGAGGGUGGGAUUGUUUCAGGUGGGGACCUUGGUUAGUUCUGUUAUGUCCUGAUGGAGAGGGUGGGAUUGUUUCAGGUGGGGGCCUUGGUUAGUUCUGUUAUGUCCUGAUGGAGAGGGUGGGAUUGUUUCAGGUGGGGGCCUUGGUUAGUUCUGUUAUGUCCUGAUGGAGAGGGUGGGAUUGUUUCAGGUGGGGGCCUUGGUUAGUUCUGUUAUGUCCUGAUGGAGAGGGUGGGAUUGUUUCAGGUGGGGACCUUGGUUAGUUCUGUUAUGUCCUGAUGGAGAGGGUGGGAUUGUUUCAGAUGGGGACCUUGGUUAGUUCUGUUAUGUACUGAUGGAGAGGGUGGGUUUGUUUCAGGUGGGGACCUUGGUUAGUUCUGUUAUGUCCUGAUGGAGAGGGUGGGAUUGUUUCAGGUGGGGACCUUGGUUAGUUCUGUUAUGUCCUGAUGGAGAGGGUGGGUUUGUUUCAGGUGGGGACCUUGGUUAGUUCUGUUAUGUCCUGAUGGAGAGGGUGGGAUUGUUUCAGGUGGGGGCCUUGGUUAGUUCUGUUAUGUCCUGAUGGAGAGGGUGGGAUUGUUUCAGGUGGGGGCCUUGGUUAGUUCUGUUAUGUCCUGAUGGAGAGGGUGGGUUUGUUUCAGAUUGGGACCUUGGUUAGUUCUGUUAUGUCCUGAUGGAGAGGGUGGGUUUGUUUCAGGUGGGGACCUUGGUUAGUUCUGUUAUGUCCUGAUGGAGAGGGUGGGUUUGUUUCAGGUGGGGGCCUUGGUUAGUUCUGUUAUGUCCUGAUGGAGAGGGUGGGUUUGUUUCAGAUUGGGACCUUGGUUAGUUCUGUUAUGUCCUGAUGGAGAGGGUGGGAUUGUUUCAGGUGGGGGCCUUGGUUAGUUCUGUUAUGUCCUGAUGGAGAGGGUGGGAUUGUUUCAGGUGGGGACCUUGGUUAGUUCUGUUAUGUCCUGAUGGAGAGGGUGGGAUUGUUUCAGGUGGGGACCUUGGUUAGUUCUGUUAUGUCCUGAUGGAGAGGGUGGGAUUGUUUCAGGUGGGGACCUUGGUUAGUUCUGUUAUGUCCUGAUGGAGAGGGUGGGAUUGUUUCAGGUGGGGACCUUGGUUAGUUCUGUUAUGUCCUGAUGGAGAGGGUGGGAUUGUUUCAGGUGGGGACCUUGGUUAGUUCUGUUAUGUCCUGAUGGAGAGGGUGGGAUUGUUUCAGGUGGGGACCUUGGUUAGUUCUGUUAUGUCCUGAUGGAGAGGGUGGGAUUGUUUCAGGUGGGGACCUUGGUUAGUUCUGUUAUGUCCUGAUGGAGAGGGUGGGAUUGUUUCAGGUGGGGACCUUGGUUAGUUCUGUUAUGUCCUGAUGGAGAGGGUGGGAUUGUUUCAGGUGGGGACCUUGGUUAGUUCUGUUAUGUCCUGAUGGAGAGGGUGGGAUUGUUUCAGGUGGGGACCUUGGUUAGUUCUGUUAUGUCCUGAUGGAGAGGGUGGGAUUGUUUCAGGUGGGGACCUUGGUUAGUUCUGUUAUGUCCUGAUGGAGAGGGUGGGAUUGUUUCAGAUGGGGACCUUGGUUAGUUCUGUUAUGUCCUGAUGGAGACAAAUACCUCCCAUUUAAUCUUUAUGACUCCAUGUUAAAGCAGAUUGUGUAUGAAAGAUGUAUUUUAUGCAUUAUGUUGCCAUUAAAUGGGAUCAAGCCCCGUUUUUAUGGA
Salmo salar (Atlantic salmon) is the source of this 1992-nucleotide non-coding RNA. The record is from RefSeq and is a predicted model, not a curated record. Lineage: Eukaryota; Metazoa; Chordata; Actinopteri; Salmoniformes; Salmonidae.